Molecule: ribosomal RNA, 254 nt
Filed under: uncultured bacterium
Lineage: Bacteria
Description: partial 16S ribosomal RNA
Rfam family: Bacterial small subunit ribosomal RNA
Source: RNAcentral
UACGAAGGGGGGCUAGCGUUGCUCGGAAUCACUGGGCGUAAAGGGUGCGUAGGCGGGUCUUUAAGUCAGAGGUGAAAUCCUGGAGCUCAACUCCAGAACUGCCUUUGAUACUGAGGAUCUUGAGUUCGGGAGAGGUGAGUGGAACUGCGAGUGUAGAGGUGAAAUUCGUAGAUAUUCGCAAGAACACCAGUGGCGAAGGCGGCUCACUGGCCCGAUACUGACGCUGAGGCACGAAAGCGUGGGGAGCAAACAGG